Molecule: long non-coding RNA, 1039 nt
Organism: Vespa crabro (European hornet)
Lineage: Eukaryota; Metazoa; Arthropoda; Insecta; Hymenoptera; Vespidae
Exons: 2
Source: RefSeq, a predicted model, not a curated record
AUUUCAUUUUAUGUGCGAUAUAUAAUUGGUAAAUGAAUUUGGAUUGAACGAAUCGUGACGAGUAACAACGAGUAACAACGAAUCUAACCGAACGUUAUCGAACAUUUCCGAAUAGACCGAAACGAAAAUAACCAAUUUCACUGAGAAAGUUCGUCGCUAUUGCCGUUCUAGCGAUUCUAAUGAUUUUGGCCUCUACAGUGAACUCCGUGCCAACGUCAAAGCCAGUAGCAGCUGGAGCCAUAACGCCAUAUCCCAUACCUCAAAGGCCACCAUAUGCACCAAAUCCAUGGGAUUAUCCAAGACCAUUCCCAACGCAAUCGUCUGAUCGUCGUUCAUAGAAAAAAAAAGAAAAAAAAGAAGAAGAAAAGAUAAGAAAAAGAAAUCUAAAACAAAAUUUAAAAAAAAAAAAUAAAUAAUGACAUAGACAAAUUAGCAGACGAUAAUAUUUGAUUAAGCGAAAGAUAAAAUUUACAAGAGGGCGACAAACCUAUGAUUAGGACUGAAUGAAAAUAUUAGCUUUUUGUUGGACAUAAACGUAACAGGAUGAAUCAACGAGUUCUCAAGGUCUCCUCAAGAUUGCAAAUUAGCGUUUAAAUUAUCUGCUUCUUAUCUUGUAUAAUGCAAAUUAAGUUUUUUCUUUUCUCUUUUACCGUCAUAACUUAUAGAUCAUAUACUUUAGUGACUCAAAUCGAUCGUAAUUUCCAAAGAAUAGUUAAAUUAGAAAAUGGGAUAUCGUAAUGAUUCCUCAAUGCGAAUUCGUUGAGACCUUGAAAUAAAAUGUCAAUUUUACUUUAAAGUUGAAUAUCGAAAGGCUAUCAAUUUCAGAAAAAAAUGAAUUGCUAAUCGAUACCCAAACGAUGCGGGUGGAAAGACGGGGAAGAGAGGGAUAAUGGCAGAGGGGAACAAAAACACUUUGAUACGAAAUUUCAGCUUUUGAAUUUAGCUUUGAGUUUUUUCUACCGGAAACACAAAGGACGAAGCCAGUAGAUAUUACGCAGUACGAGAUUAAAUUGUGUAAAAACACAAUGGACCUCUGUAA